CCCUUAGAUGUUCUGGGCCGCACACGCGCUACACUGAAGGAGGCAGCGUGUACUCCUGGAUCGAAAGAUUUGGGUAACCCGCGAAUCUCCUUCGUGCUAGGGAUUGAGGUUUGCAAUUAUCCUUCAUGAACGAGGAGUUCCCAGUAAGUGCAAGUCAUAAGCUUGCGCUGACUACGUCCCUGCCCUUUGUACACACCGCCCGUCGCUACUACCGAUUGAAUGAUUUAGUGAGGACUUCGGACUGGGACCGAUGCGGCUUUCGGGCUGCGUCGGUAUUCUGGAAAGAUGUCCAAACUGUAUCAUUUAGAGGAAGUAAAAGUCGUANCA
RNAcentral lists this ribosomal RNA (327 nucleotides) under uncultured eukaryote. RNAcentral's name for it is "partial 18S ribosomal RNA". It matches the Rfam family "Eukaryotic small subunit ribosomal RNA", at positions 1470 to 1796 of the family's 1831-position model. The record is from RNAcentral.